Molecule: long non-coding RNA, 541 nt
Organism: Gasterosteus aculeatus aculeatus (three-spined stickleback)
Lineage: Eukaryota; Metazoa; Chordata; Actinopteri; Perciformes; Gasterosteidae
Source: Ensembl
AACAUACGGCAGUGCGCCGCUCAGGGCAGACUAAACAUCUGUUCGCACAACUUCCUGAGUGGAGCGUCGCCGGUGGGUGGGCCAUGCGAAGGCGUGUGCGUUAACCCCAGCGCUGCGGCUCCGGGGCCGCCGCCAACAACGGCGCAGAGGCGGGGGCCGCGGCAGGGGGGUUCCCGACCGGCGGGCGGUGCAAAGGAAUGGACGUUAAACGCGAGGUCGAGGACGGAGAGGAUUUCAGCCGGAACUCGACAUUUUUACUUUCUAGUUUUCAGACUGAGUUCGGAAUGAGGGGUGAACUGGUCCGAAUGGUUGGAUUGUUUACCAAGUUCAGUCCUGUCGCUGUGCUUUUGUGACACCUACAAAUGGUUUGAGAUCCUCCAUUGGUGCUCAAUUAAUAUUAAUUGAUAAAGAAUUCCCAACAGUGGUGAUACCUCUAUUGACAAAAUGUGCUUUUCUUAUAUAAAUCAGAUAUUGUUGUGUUUUGGACUGUUGUAAAAUGACAUACAUUUGGAGUUGUGUUGCAUGGACACUUUUAGACUCU